This 408-nucleotide ribosomal RNA is filed under the name uncultured bacterium. RNAcentral describes it as "partial 16S ribosomal RNA". It matches the Rfam family "Bacterial small subunit ribosomal RNA", at positions 28 to 526 of the family's 1533-position model. The record is from RNAcentral.
GACGAACGCUGACGGCGUGCUUAACACAUGCAAGUCGAAGGGAGUGGCGAACGGGUGAGUAACACGUGAGUAACCUGCCCUUUUCUUUGGGAUAAGCCUGGGAAACUGGGUCUAAUACUGGAUGGUUUGGGCUGGGCUAGCGGCUUGUCAGCUGGUUGGUGGGGUGAUGGCUUCCCUAGGCUUUGACGGGUAGCCGGCAUGAGAGGGUGGACGGUCACGGUGGGACUGUGAUACGGCCUAGACUACUACGCGGGGGAGAAGUGGGGGAUAUUGCACAAUGGACGAAAGUGUGAUGCAGCGAGGACGAGUGGGGGAUGAAGGCCGUCGGGUUGUAAACUCCUUGCGCCCGCGGGAUGGUAGUGGGUAAAGAAGCGCCGGCUAACUACGUGCCAGCAGCCGCGGUAAUUC